Long non-coding RNA from Drosophila albomicans, 1591 nucleotides. RefSeq lists it as uncharacterized. The record is from RefSeq and is a predicted model, not a curated record. The transcript has 3 exons. Lineage: Eukaryota; Metazoa; Arthropoda; Insecta; Diptera; Drosophilidae.
GCUUCUUAAAUUUGUAUUUCGUUAAUUGGUAAAACCAAUAUACAAAUAAGUUAAUCAGCUAAAACUGUGUAUACCAUAAUUAUUCAGAGAUAAAUAUAAAAUAAUGCAAAUAGAUCUGCUGAUGGACUUGUAACGAUGUCGAUUGGCGGCGCACUUUCGAUCAACUGCGGGGCACAUCAAUAAGGAGCAAUUGUGGCGCCAUCAGGGCCAUAACAUGGACACAAACCUGAAAGACAUUGACUAAUAACUUAUUUAUGGAGAGUUUUGCACAUUGAAAAGUGCGCAAAAAAAAAACGAGCAAAAGGAAAGGACAGAAAGAAAGGAAAAAAAUGAAAAUGAUGUAGGAAAACAAACGGCGGCCGCUUCCGUUGGCCGCCAUAACACCGGAAAUAGCUGCAUGCAGACACACACACACACACACACAUACUCACAUGCUUAUGCACUUGCCACACACACACCAGAGACAAAUGCCAUUUACAAUUUUUGUACAUAAAGCCGCUUAAGCAGCACUCUAUGACCUGCUCCUUCUCCUUCUCCUUCUCCUCCUCCUCGCCUCCCUUGACAUGUAAUUUGUUUUUAUGUCUGCCCAUAUACGUGAGAUAACGCGACGAGUUCCUCUUUCAGUUCUUUGCUUUCCUUUCCCAUUUUUUUUGCUCGCGCUUCCUUCUUUUCGUGCACACAACUUCGAUUAACAUUGGCAACACUCAAAAGGGAAAGGGAGAGGAGGGGAAAGGGGAAGGCAGCUGGUCCAAAACCCAAACAACAAGUGGCAGUCGACGCGACUGUCGAAUGGCCCUGGCCGUGAAUUCCAUAUAUAAUUUUUGUGUGCGCUUCUGCUGUCGGGCGGAGAAGAAGGAGGAGGAGGGGGAGGAGGCAUGCCACGCCGUGGCAAACUGGCAACUGGCAACUGGCAACUGGCAUGGCGUAAAGUGAAAAAUAUCCUUGCCGCGUUGUGUUGCAUUUGAAAUUGUUCGCUAAAAAGCAUCGAACGAACGUAUUGAACUUUCCUCAAAGUGUGGGCAAAAGUUUUGAAAAACUGCCACUGCCACAGAGUUUGCGACUCUGUGAGCUUAGAGAAUGGGAUGAGUUCUUGCCACUGCCGCAGUUUGACAUUAAUGGAAGCUCUUCGCUUGUCUCGUCUAUACAUAUAUAACAAAGAAUAUAUAUUAAUAUUGGCAGACGUGUUUAGUUUUAAAUGUCAGACUUUUGUUUCACUCUUUACUCUUCUUUUAUUUUUUUUUUUGGGUAGAGAAUUUCCGCGUCUCGUGGAUGGGUUGCUUAUGAGAGAAACCUAGGGAGAAAGAAAGAGAGCUCAAAGUAUUUUCAAAAUUUGUUGAUUUAGCUCAAAACAAAAUUGGAAUUGUUUACAUUGAGAGAGCUUAAGCGCGUGCGUUGCGUAUAUCAACUUUAAAUACUAUUUAAGUUUAUUAUUUGUCAAGAACUUUUCAAAUAUUUACCCACAUACACGAGACGUUGAAUUUAGGCAGCUGUUUGGAAUUAUUGUAAAUCAUUUUGUUGUAUUCUUGAUCAACUUUACAUUUUUCCAUUGUUUUUGUUUAUUUAUCAAAUCGCAACAAAUACUUAUUUCGAA